RNAcentral lists this ribosomal RNA (258 nucleotides) under uncultured bacterium. Its description in RNAcentral is "partial 16S ribosomal RNA". It matches the Rfam family "Bacterial small subunit ribosomal RNA", at positions 524 to 776 of the family's 1533-position model. The record is from RNAcentral.
UACGUAGGGGGCAAGCGUUGUCCGGAAUCAUUGGGCGUAAAGCGCGUGUAGGCGGCCCGGUAAGUCCGCUGUGAAAGUCGGGGGGCUCAACCCUCGGAUGCCGGUGGAUACUGUCGGGCUAGAGUGCGGGAGAGGCGAGUGGAAUUCCUGGUGUAGCGGUGAAAUGCGCAGAUAUCAGGAGGAACACCAAUUGCGAAGGCAGCUCGCUGGAACGUAACUGACGCUGGAGAACGCGAAAAGCGUGGGGGAGCAAACAGG